AGAGUUUGAUCCUGGCUCAGAAUGAACGCUGGCGGCAUGCCUAACACAUGCAAGUCGAGCGAGAAAGUUCCUUCGGGGAUUAGUACAGCGGCGGACGGGUGAGUAACACGUGAGAACCUGCCCUUUAGUGAAGAAUAACUUUGAGAAAUUGGAGUUAAUACUGCAUACGUCCCUUCGGGGAGAAAGGUGGCUUUUAUGCUGCCGCUAAAGGAUGGGCUUGCGCGCUAUUAGCUAGUUGGUAGGGUAAAGGCCUACCAAGGCUAUGAUGGCUAGCCGGCCUGAGAGGGUGUACGGCCACAUUGGAACUGAGAUACGGUCCAGACUCCUACGGGAGGCAGCAGUGGGGAAUAUUGCGCAAUGGGCGGAAGCCUGACGCAGCAAUGCCGCGUGGAGGAUGAAGGUUUUCGGAUCGUAAACUUCUGUUAGGUGGGAAGAAAGGUUUGAGGUUAAUAGCUUCAGAUUAUGACGGUACACCAGAGAAAGCACCGGCUAACUUCGUGCCAGCAGCCGCGGUAAUACGAGGGGUGCUAGCGUUAUUCGGAAUUACUGGGCGUAAAGGGUGUGUAGACGGCGUAUCAAGUCUAUUGUUAAAUUCUCCGGCUCAACCGGAGGUAUGCGGUGGAAACUGGUAUGCUAGAGGAUGAGAGAGAGAAGUGGAAUUCUCGGAGUAGCGGUAAAAUGCGUAGAUCUCGAGAGGAACACCAGUGGCGAAGGCGGCUUCUUGGCUCAUUUCUGACGUUGAGACACGAAAGCGUGGGUAGCAAACAGGAUUAGAUACCCUGGUAGUCCAUGCCGUAAACGAUGACCACUAGACGUUAGCCUGGCUUGCCGGGUUAGUGUCAAAGCUAACGCGUUAAGUGGUUCGCCUGGGAAGUACGGUCGCAAGACUAAAACUUAAAGGAAUUGACGGGGGUCCGCACAAGCGGUGGAACAUGUGGUUUAAUUCGACAGUCCGCGAGGAACCUUACCUGGACUUGACAUGCAUUUGAUCGCUGUGGAAAUACAGUUUUUCAAGCUUCGGCUUGGACGGAUGCACAGGUGCUGCAUGGCCGUCGUCAGCUCGUGUCGUGAGAUGUUGGGUUAAGUCCUUUAACGAGCGCAACCCUUGCUAUCAGUUGCUAUUUGCCCUUGAGGUGAAGCACUCUGAUGGGACUGCCUGGGAAACCAGGAGGAAGGUGGGGAUGACGUCAGGUCGUCAUGGUCCUUAUGUCCAGGGCGACACACGUGUUACAAUGGCCGGUACAACGGGUAGCAAUCCUGUAAAGGUGAGCCAAUCCUUAUAAGCCGGUCUAAGUUCGGAUUGAGGUCUGCAACUCGACCUCAUGAAGUUGAAAUCGCUAGUAAUCGCGCAUCAGAACGGCGCGGUGAAUACGUUCCCGGGCCUUGUACACACCGCCCGUCACACCAUGAAAGCUGUUUGUGCCCGAAAUCGUCUUAGCUAACCCGAAAGGGAGGCGGGCGCCUAAGGCAUGGGUGGUGAUUGGGGUGAAGUCGUAACAAGGUA
RNAcentral lists this ribosomal RNA (1504 nucleotides) under metagenome. RNAcentral's name for it is "bacterial SSU rRNA". It matches the Rfam family "Bacterial small subunit ribosomal RNA". The record is from RNAcentral.